UGGGGAAUAUUGGACAAUGGGCGAAAGCCUGAUCCAGCAAUGCCGCGUGAGUGAUGAAGGCCUUAGGGUUGUAAAGCUCUUUUACCAGGGAUGAUAAUGACAGUACCUGGAGAAUAAGCUCCGGCUAACUCCGUGCCAGCAGCCGCGGUAAUACGGAGGGAGCUAGCGUUGUUCGGAAUUACUGGGCGUAAAGCGUACGUAGGCGGUGACUCAAGUCAGAGGUGAAAGCCUGGAGCUCAACUCCAGAACUGCCUUUGAAACUAGGUCGCUAGAAUCACGGAGAGGUGAGUGGAAUUCCGAGUGUAGAGGUGAAAUUCGUAGAUAUUCGGAAGAACACCAGUGGCGAAGGCGGCUCACUGGACCGUGUAUUGACGCUGAGGUACGAAAGCGUGGGGAGCAAACAGGAUUAGAUACCCCUGUAGUCCCUGAGCGGGCUGGCAAGGCGCAU
RNAcentral lists this ribosomal RNA (448 nucleotides) under uncultured bacterium. RNAcentral describes it as "bacterial SSU rRNA". It matches the Rfam family "Bacterial small subunit ribosomal RNA", at positions 355 to 825 of the family's 1533-position model. The record is from RNAcentral.